Molecule: ribosomal RNA, 663 nt
Filed under: uncultured archaeon
Lineage: Archaea
Description: bacterial SSU rRNA
Rfam family: Archaeal small subunit ribosomal RNA
Source: RNAcentral
CUGGUUGAUCCUGCCGGAGUUACUGCUAUCGAGGUUCGACUAAGCCAUGCGCAGUCGAAUGUAGCAAUACAUGGCGUACUGCUCAGUAACACGUGGACAACCUACCCUUAGGACGGGGAUAAACCCGGGAAACUGGGUAUAAUACCCGAUAGAUCUGGGCUGCUGGAAUGCAUUCAGAUUUAAAACUCCGGUGCCUAAGGAUGGGUCUGCGGCCUAUCAGGUUGUAGUGGGUGUAGCGUACCUACUAGCCUACGACGGGUACGGGUUGUGAGAGCAAGAGCCCGGAGAUGGAUUCUGAGACACGAAUCCAGGCCCUACGGGGUGCAGCAGGCGCGAAAACUUUACAAUGCCGGCAACGGCGAUAAGGGGACCUCGAGUGCCAGGUUACAAAUCUGGCUGUCGCGAUGCCUAAAAAGCAUUGCAUAGCAAGGGCCGGGCAAGACCGGUGCCAGCCGCCGCGGUAACACCGGCGGCUCAAGUGGUAACCGUUAUUAUUGGGUCUAAAGGGUCUGUAGCCGGCCGGGUAAGUCUCUUGGGAAAUCCAGCAGCUUAACUGUUGGGCUUUCAGGAGAUACUGCCUGGCUCGAGGCUGGGAGAGGUGAGAGGUACUUUCAGGGGUAGGGGUGAAAUCUUGUAAUCCUUGAAGGACCACCAGUGGCGAAG